Molecule: ribosomal RNA, 497 nt
Filed under: uncultured bacterium
Lineage: Bacteria
Description: partial 16S ribosomal RNA
Rfam family: Bacterial small subunit ribosomal RNA
Source: RNAcentral
GAUGAACGCUGGCGGCGUGCCUAAUACAUGCAAGUCGAGCGAACGGACGAGAAGCUUGCUGCGCUGAUGUGAGCGGCGGAGGGGUGAGUAACACGUGGAUAACCUACCUAUAAGACUGAGAUAACUUCGGGAAACCGGAGCUAAUACCGUAUAAUCUUUUGAACCACGUGGUUCGAAAGUGAAAGACGGUCUUGCGGUCAGUUCUAGAUGGAUCCGCGCUGCAUUGGCUAGUUGGGAAGGUAACGGCUUAGCAAGGCAACGAGGCAUAGACGACCUGAGAGGGUGAUCGGCCACAUUGGAACUGGGACGGGGUCCAGACUACUAAGGGAGGCACCAGAAGGGAACCGUCCGCAGUGGGCGAAAGCCUGACGGAGCAACGGCGCGUGAGUGAUGACAGUCUUCGGAGCGUAAAACUCUGUUAUUAGGGAAGAACAUAUGUGGAAGUAACCGUGCACAUAGUGACGGUACCUAAUAAGAAAGCAACGGCUAACUACGUG